This 557-nucleotide ribosomal RNA is filed under the name uncultured bacterium. RNAcentral describes it as "bacterial SSU rRNA". It matches the Rfam family "Bacterial small subunit ribosomal RNA", at positions 102 to 694 of the family's 1533-position model. The record is from RNAcentral.
ACGGGUGAGUAACACGUGGGAACCUACCUUCUGGUACGGAACAACCAAGGGAAACUUUGGCUAAUACCGUAUACGGCCUCCGGGUGAAGGAUUUAUCGCCGGAAGAGGGGCCCGCGUCCGAUUAGGUAGUUGGUGAGGUAAAGGCUCACCAAGCCGACGAUCGGUAGCUGGUCUGAGAGGAUGACCAGCCACACUGGGACUGAGACACGGCCCAGACUCCUACGGGAGGCAGCAGUGGGGAAUAUUGGACAAUGGGCGCAAGCCUGAUCCAGCCAUGCCGCGUGAGUGAUGAAGGCCUUCGGGUUGUAAAGCUCUUUCACCCACGACGAUGAUGACGGUAGUGGGAGAAGAAGCCCCGGCUAACUUCGUGCCAGCAGCCGCGGUAAUACGAAGGGGGCAAGCGUUGUUCGGAAUGACUGGGCGUAAAGGGCGCGUAGGCGGUUCGUUGCGUCAGAUGUGAAAGCCCCGGGCUCAACCUGGGAACUGCAUUUGAUACGGGCGAGCUUGAAUCCAAGAGAGGGUGGUGGAAUUCCCAGUGUAGAGGUGAAAUUCGUAGA